GACGAACCGUGCGAACGUUAUUCGGAAUCAUUGGGCUUAAAGCGCGUGUAGGCGGAUUCGUGCGUCUGUCGCUGAAAUCCCCCGGCUCAACCGGGGAACGGGCGCGGAUACGACGAGUCUGGAGGGGCAUAGGGGGACCUGGAACUUCCGGUGGAGCGGUGAAAUGCGUUGAGAUCGGAAGGAACGCCCGUGGCGAAAGCGAGGUCCUGGAUGCCUACUGACACUGAGACGCGAAAGCCAGGGGAGCGAACGGG
RNAcentral lists this ribosomal RNA (254 nucleotides) under uncultured bacterium. RNAcentral's name for it is "partial 16S ribosomal RNA". It matches the Rfam family "Bacterial small subunit ribosomal RNA", at positions 524 to 776 of the family's 1533-position model. The record is from RNAcentral.